UGGACUAAAUGAUUCUGGCCUGUUCCUUCCAAUUCUAUGAUCCUAUGGUAUUACCAAAUGUAAUAGCUUGCAUAUUUUGUAGGACUGUUACCAUCAUUUCAGACGGUGAGGAAGAGCAGGAAACUGACCAAGAACGAUCUGAACAUUUGUGUGCUUUUUAAGACGGUUUGGAUUGGCAUUUUGGUUUGUGAUCUCGCGUUUUUCUGGAGCUCUGGCAGACUGGAGGGUUUCUACAGACACGACCAGAUGUUCCAACAAACUUAGCCAGCACUUCCGAAGUGUCUGCUAGGAGAGGGCUGACAUUCCAAUGCUGCCCCCUUCCCUUUUCUCCAUUCCUUCCCUACCCAACCCGCCCCCCGUCAAUAAUUAAUCUGCCAGCAGCGAUCUUUUGCGUGUCAAAUGAUCGUCGGAAUCGUGCGACGCUUCGUCUCCCUGCGGGCUUUUUUAGCAGCCUCGGCUCCUAUCUUGAACGUUUCUUGCAGCGCAGAAUCGAUGGGUUCGACCUGCCGAGAUCUCUGCCUAUGUCUCUGCCUUUCUCCCUCGCCCUCUUUCAUAGGGACUGGGGUUAAAUAAAUAACCGAGGCUGCUUUCCUCAUUGGAAGUC
This is a long non-coding RNA of Podarcis muralis (Common wall lizard), 604 nucleotides long. RefSeq lists it as uncharacterized. NCBI's taxonomy places the organism in Eukaryota, Metazoa, Chordata, Lepidosauria, Squamata, Lacertidae. The record is from RefSeq and is a predicted model, not a curated record.